UAAAACUCAAAGGACUUGGCGGUGCUUCACAUCCACCUAGAGGAGCCUGUUCUAUAAUCGAUAAACCCCGAUAGACCUUACCAACCCUUGCCAAUUCAGCCUAUAUACCGCCAUCUUCAGCAAACCCUAAAAAGGAACAAUAGUAAGCACAAUCAUAGCACAUAAAAACGUUAGGUCAAGGUGUAGCUUAUGGGUUGGAAAGAAAUGGGCUACAUUUUCUACAUAANAAUAUCCACCACACGAAAGUUUUUAUGAAACUAANAACCAAAGGAGGAUUUAGCAGUAA
This 286-nucleotide ribosomal RNA is filed under the name Sus scrofa (pig). Its description in RNAcentral is "partial small subunit ribosomal RNA". It matches the Rfam family "Bacterial small subunit ribosomal RNA", at positions 895 to 1341 of the family's 1533-position model. The record is from RNAcentral. Lineage: Eukaryota; Metazoa; Chordata; Mammalia; Artiodactyla; Suidae.